CCGGAGCUUGCUGCCAUCGGAAAAAGAGGAGUGGCGAACGGGUGAGUAACACGUGGGUAACCUGCCCAUCAGAAGGGGAUAACACUUGGAAACAGGUGCUAAUACCGUAUAACAAUCGAAACCGCAUGGUUUCGAUUUGAAAGGCGCUUUCGGGUGUCGCUGAUGGAUGGACCCGCGGUGCAUUAGCUAGUUGGUGAGGUAACGGCUCACCAAGGCGACGAUGCAUAGCCGACCUGAGAGGGUGAUCGGCCACAUUGGGACUGAGACACGGNCCAAACUCCUACGGGAGGCAGCAGUAGGGAAUCUUCGGCAAUGGACGAAAGUCUGACCGAGCAACGCCGCGUGAGUGAAGAAGGUUUUCGGAUCGUAAAACUCUGUUGUUAGAGAAGAACAAGGAUGAGAGUAACUGUUCAUCCCUUGACGGUAUCUAACCAGAAAGCCACGGCUAACUACGUGCCAGCAGCCGCGGUAAUACGUAGUGGCAAGCGUUGUCCGGAUUUAUUGGGCGUAAAGCGAGCGCACGCGGUUUCUUAAGUCUGAUGUGAAACCCCCCGGCUCA
Molecule: ribosomal RNA, 559 nt
Filed under: uncultured bacterium
Lineage: Bacteria
Description: bacterial SSU rRNA
Rfam family: Bacterial small subunit ribosomal RNA
Source: RNAcentral